This 484-nucleotide ribosomal RNA is filed under the name uncultured bacterium. Its description in RNAcentral is "partial 16S ribosomal RNA". It matches the Rfam family "Bacterial small subunit ribosomal RNA", at positions 30 to 507 of the family's 1533-position model. The record is from RNAcentral.
AUUGAACGCUGGCGGCAGGCCUAACACAUGCAAGUCGAGCGGAUGAAGGGAGCUUGCUCCUGGAUUCAGCGGCGGACGGGUGAGUAAUGCCUAGGAAUCUGCCUGGUAGUGGGGGAUAACGUCCGGAAACGGGCGCUAAUACCGCAUACGACCUGAGGGAGAAAGUGGGGGAUCUUCGGACCUCACGCUAUCAGAUGAGCCUAGGUCGGAUUAGCUAGCUGGUGGGGUAAAGGCCUACCAAGGCGACGAUCCGUAACUGGUCUGAGAGGAUGAUCAGUCACACUGGAACUGAGACACGGUCCAGACGCCUACGGGAGGCAGCAGUGGGGAAUAUUGGACAAUGGGCGAAAGCCUGAUCCAGCCAUGCCGCGUGUGUGAAGAAGGUCUUCGGAUUGUAAAGCACGUUAAGUUGGGAGGAAGGGCAGUAAGUUAAUACCUUGCUGUUUUGACGUUACCAACAGAAUAAGCACCGGCUAACUUCGUG